UACGUAGGGCGCAAGCGUUGUCCGGAAUUAUUGGGCGUAAAGAGCUCGUAGGCGGCUUGUCACGUCGGGUGUGAAAGCCCGGGGCUUAACCCCGGGUCUGCAGUGGGUACGGGCAGACUAGAGUGCGGUAGGGGAGACUGGAAUUCCUGGUGUAGCGGUGAAAUGCGCAGAUAUCAGGAGGAACACCGGUGGCGAAGGCGGGUCUCUGGGCCGUAACUGACGCUGAGGAGCGAAAGCGUGGGGAGCGAACAGG
RNAcentral lists this ribosomal RNA (253 nucleotides) under uncultured bacterium. RNAcentral describes it as "partial 16S ribosomal RNA". It matches the Rfam family "Bacterial small subunit ribosomal RNA", at positions 524 to 776 of the family's 1533-position model. The record is from RNAcentral.